CACGUAGGGCGCAAGCGUUGUCCGGAAUUAUUGGGCGUAAAGAGCGUGUAGGCGGCCAGGUAGGUCUGCUGUGAAAACUCGAGGCUCAACCUCGAGAUGUCGGCGGAAACCAUCUGGCUAGAGUCCGGAAGAGGAAAGUGGAAUUCCUGGUGUAGCGGUGAAAUGCGCAGAUAUCAGGAAGAACACCGGUGGCGAAGGCGGUCAACUGGCCCGCAACUGACGCUGAGGUGCGAAAGCGUGGGGAGCAAACAGG
This 253-nucleotide ribosomal RNA is filed under the name uncultured bacterium. Its description in RNAcentral is "partial 16S ribosomal RNA". It matches the Rfam family "Bacterial small subunit ribosomal RNA", at positions 524 to 776 of the family's 1533-position model. The record is from RNAcentral.